RNAcentral lists this long non-coding RNA (1522 nucleotides) under Sus scrofa (pig). Its description in RNAcentral is "lncRNA (ENSSSCG00025049794.1)". The record is from RNAcentral. Lineage: Eukaryota; Metazoa; Chordata; Mammalia; Artiodactyla; Suidae.
UACGCCACGGGUGCGGCCCUAAAAAAAAAAAAAAGAGAGAGAAAAGAAAAGAAAAAGCUUAAAAAAAAAAAAGCCAUUCAUUUACCAAACCUGGGCUUUUUUUCCUCUGUUGCCAUAGGUGUGAGCAAAGGGCCAGGUAUUACUGUAAUGGCCUGGAAAUCUAGACCAUCUGUGCAGUUUGCUCAUGCCUUGAACCUUCUUGGCCCAGUCCUGAGUGUAGCAUUUUUAUUUGAUUAUGGAUUAAUGAGGGGCCUGCCUGACCUUAUGAUUUAGUGAUUCUGACAAGAUUCAGCUCAUGGUAGAUGACUUAGUCUGUACAAGGGCCUAGUCGUACGCUGGGACCUGCUUUUCAAAGACUGAAUAGUUCUUCACUGCUUUGAUCCAGAAGCCUAGAAAUUUCUGCACUGCAACUGUCUGAUUUGGGGCUUGUGAGCUUCUUUACCAACGACUGCCGCUUGCACUGUGGAUCUUUUGGGACAUGUAGACCAAGGGGACAGACACGUUCUGUGCUAUAGUCUGAAGCACAAAGGGCUACACCCUCUCUGACUGUGUGCACUCAAAACUGGCAGCCUUCUGAAUGACCCAACAAAUGGUCAGAGAUGUAUUCCUGAGUGCGGGUCAUGCUGGCUUCAGGAUCCAAAGACCGUUUUGUGCUGUGCCUUUCCUAGUGAUAGAAGCUUCAAGACAAAGUUGCUAGCUGUUGACUUGGCAAGGAGCCCCAGCCUCCCCUAGAUCCCUGGACCUCCAGAAGCUUUAGCACUCCGUUACGCUUCUGAAUCUUGGCAGGAUUCAUCCCCUCCUCUCUGAUGUGUCUCUUAAGAAGCAUCCAAAUGUUUGCCGGUUUCUGUUCUCCAAGGUCCAGUUGACAUUUUGUCAUCAGUGUGGUGGGCCAGCAUGAUUUUCUGCAGAAUGUCAAGGUGACCAAGGAUCUUCACGCUGCAUUGUGGCAGAACAGGAGGGUCACCUACUCCUGGGGUAAAACCGAAUGUGUACUAUUAUCUGACCCGAGUGAGUGCGAACUUUUUUUGAUUCUCUUUUUUUGGUGGGGAUUGGAAAGAACUCAUUAACCAGAUCUACAGCCUCAUACCAAGUGCUGGCGGUUGUGCGGAGUUGUUCUAGUAGAAGUACCACAUCCAGCAGAGCAGCUGAUCUUUGGAGCUUCCUUCUUGCUCUGUGUUAGUCCUCUGUCAGCUUCUGUUUUUCAUUUGUUUUUUCAUUUUGUUUUGGUGGGUUUUGGUUGUGGUUGUGGCUUGCAGAAAGCAUACAGUGGCAGGAGUUCCUUUCAUGGCCCAGCAGUAACAAACCCAGUCAGGAUCCAUGAGCAUACAGGUUUGAUCCCUGGUCUCGCUCAGUGGGUUAAGGAUCCAGUGUUGCUGUGAGCUGUGGUGUAGGUCACAGACAUGGCUUGGAUCUCGUGUUGCUGUGGCUGCGGUAUAGGCCGGUAGCUGUAGCUCCGAUUUGACCCCUAGCCUGGGAACUUUCAUGUGCCUCAGGUGUGGCCCUAAAAAGCAAAAAAAAAAAA